Molecule: ribosomal RNA, 430 nt
Filed under: Parvimonas micra
Lineage: Bacteria; Bacillati; Bacillota; Tissierellia; Tissierellales; Peptoniphilaceae
Description: bacterial SSU rRNA
Rfam family: Bacterial small subunit ribosomal RNA
Source: RNAcentral
GACGAACGCUGGCGGCGUGCUUAACACAUGCAAGUCGAACGUGAUUUUUGUGGAAAUUCUUUCGGGAAUGGAAAUGAAAUGAAAGUGGCGAACGGGUGAGUAACACGUGAGCAACCUACCUUACACAGGGGGAUAGCCGUUGGAAACGACGAUUAAUACCGCAUGAGACCACAGAAUCGCAUGAUAUAGGGGUCAAAGAUUUAUCGGUGUAAGAAGGGCUCGCGUCUGAUUAGCUAGUUGGAAGGGUAAAGGCCUACCAAGGCGACGAUCAGUAGCCGGUCUGAGAGGAUGAACGGCCACAUUGGAACUGAGACACGGUCCAAACUCCUACGGGAGGCAGCAGUGGGGAAUAUUGCACAAUGGGGGGAACCCUGAUGCAGCGACGCCGCGUGAGCGAAGAAGGUUUUCGAAUCGUAAAGCUCUGUCCUAU